Molecule: long non-coding RNA, 1414 nt
Organism: Trifolium pratense (red clover)
Lineage: Eukaryota; Viridiplantae; Streptophyta; Magnoliopsida; Fabales; Fabaceae
Exons: 4
Source: RefSeq, a predicted model, not a curated record
AUUUCAGCAAUGAGCAAUAAUAUAUCAUUUGAUAUAUUUUUGCUUUUCUUUCUCAAAUACACAAAAAGAAGUGACAAAAAAAUACAGAAAAAGAAGAAAACAACCCUAAUCCUUAUCCCUCUUUUCACUAAAACCCUUUUCCUCUUUCUCUUUUCACGCAUCAUACCUUCACCCUCCCUUCUUCUGCGAGCGAAACCCUCACCCUCACCUCAGCGCUGCGCCAUUCUUUCACCACUUCCCCAAUCGUUACGUUGUUGAGCUAAGUGUACGUUUCAGAGCCAUCAUCUUCUCAUUCUAUCGAUUCUAACAAGAAGCAAGUAAAACAGGAUGAUACGUCUCAAUUUCGGACUCAGUUUGGAUUCUCUAGUCCUUUGCAUUGUCGAAUUGACAACAAACGAUAAAGUUUCUUCAGGUCUGCCUUAAUGAUAGUUGGUUUUGGUUCUUAUUUAUUUGGUUUAGACUAUCAAUAUUAAGAUUGAUAACUUUCUAAUCAUUAUUAUCUUCAAACGAAAUUAUCUUUCUCCCUUUACCACAGUGGAAGCCAUUCUCACAAUGUUUAACUUCAAUGCAUUAGGAAGAGUUUAAGAAAAUGAAUCACACUAAGUGAAUUGCAAAUUUGGCUUUAGUUGGUUUGCUUAUCUUAUUGCUUCAGGCAUCAUGGAGAUAAAGAACUUUCAAUUUCCUUCGCCGGUGACAAAAAUUUCAAUUCUUGAGUGCGCUUUAUUUCUCUGAGAGGUGGAUGUAGCUCAUUCUGUAGCAGUCAAUACUUGUGAUAGAGGUAUUUUAUAUUGAUUAAAUUUAACUUUUAAGGUAAUAGAAAAUUGAAGCGAAAGGUUCUUACAACUUUUUAAUGUGUGUGUGCGCGUAAGUAGUUUAACUCUGCUUUUCAUUAUUGAGUUUUCCUAUCAAAAUGUAUGCUAGUGUUUAGAACAUAGUUGGCUUAUAGAUAAGUAGCAAUAUUUUAUAAGGUUGCUCUAUCCUCUAUGACUUUUUUUUUUCUUCUUCCGAGUUGAUUAGUUUUUUUCAAUUGCUUGAAUUUGGCGAUGUGACACUCACCUUUUAGACUUUUAGUCUUGCUUUGUUCAUGUGUGAUUUUUCUAUCAAAAUUCUUAAAUUUGAUGGUAUAAGUUAGGUCUAUUUUGAUGGGUUAUAUAUUUUGUGGGUUAUGUAUUUUGUGGGAUAUUUUGGUGGGUUAUAUAUUAGUGAGUUAUAUUUUGAUUGAUGGUAAGUUAGGACUAUUUUAAUGGAUUAUAUAUUUUGCGGGAUAUUUUGGUGGAUGUAGACAUUUUUUGUUGAAAUUAUAUAUGGUUAUAUAUUAGAAAUAGAAGGUCUAGUAAAGAACUACUUAAUUUGUAUUUUAGAUGUACUAAUACUAAUUGUUUGUUGAUUUUCCAUCAGCUACAAAGCUAUAUUU